ACCGCUUUGACCACCCCUCGAUUUUCUCCCCGCACUUCCUCUCUCCCCAUUAUCUCCACCGCCUCGAACUCCAUCCCUGCCCCAGGCCUGCUGCCUUCCUCCCCCUGCCUGGCCAUGUCCGGCGCCGCCGUCUCCUCCUUUUCCGUUUCCACACCACCGCAGUGCUCGGCCGCGCCCCUACGUGCUAGAGGCUAGGGUUCAGCACGGUGGGCAUGGCGACCGCGUCCGCCGCGACGGACGAUGUCCGGCAGCCGUGCAGGCCGAUUCCGGGCGCGCAGCUGUGCUCCGGAUCCAAGAACCUGGCCCGAAGCCGCCGGUGGUGAUCGUGCACUAGUGGCCGAGCGCGCGGAACGCCCACGUCGUGGAGGUCCAUCGCGGAUUUCGCGCGGCGCGGGCGCCGUGGCGCGCUGGUUCUAGGCGCUUCUGGGCGCGUCACAGACGUUGUGGUCUGCAAGGAGCCCUCGCUGCUCGAGCUCCGGGGCACGGCCAUGAUCCUAGGAUUGCAGGGCGCUUCUUCCCUCCCUCUGCCUCACCAGCGGCGUGGUGGUGUUCCUGGACAGGCUGCCGGGCGCCGUGCUGGGCGGUGGCCUCGCCGAGGGAGGGCUUGUGGCCGCAGGGUCAUGGUGGCCACGUUCGAUCGGUUGCCGCUACUGAAGGGUAUGGCGUGGCCGGACACUUGCGGUGCGAUGGCCUGCAGCUGCAGCAGCAGUCCGGUACCAGGUGUUCCCACCGCACAAAGAAACACGCGAAUCGACCAGCCCCACCGUUACCCUGGUCUCGCCGUGUCCGUGUAGUGGCUGUGGUUUCUGGCGGCGGAUGCGUCGGCGGCGUCCCUCUAUGGAGAGUCUCUCGGCGCAGCCCUGCACGCAGGUUUCCGCGGGUUCGUACGCCUCCUCUCGCUGACUCUGUCAUUCUGCGCAAGCGACCGCAGAAGUAGGGGAACGAGGCCUUGCUUGACUCCGUCCUCAAGCCGAGCAGCGGACAAAUCAGGGGAUCUCACCGAGGCCUGGCACGCACCCGGUGUGGAUGCCUGGGUCACCUAGGCGGCGAGCGGCAGAAGGUAGACGGAGAACUGGAGAAGGGGAUCCCAAUUAGGCCUGUCGCACCGGGCAGGUCCUCCAGCGUCCCAGCAGCCGCCUCCUCCCCCAGAUCAAACUGAAUAACGUGAACUGUUGGAUGCCGAGGCCUGGAUCAUUUUUGCUGCAUCACCGGCACGACAUCCGUGCUCUGCUGGAUUAUAGAUUUUAGCUAUCUAUUUAAGAUUAAACUGAGCUAAGUCAAUCACCUUCCUAAGUUAUUCUGUACUUCCCUCUUCCACGUACCAAUUUCUAUACAUUAUGUAUUUCAGUUCUACAGCUGAUAAUUAUGUACACACGUGUAUAUCAAGUCUGCAGCAAAUAAUUUUUUUCACUUCGAUCGUUUCAAUUCAUAUAUGAGAUCCUAUGAAAGAACAUGAACUGACAUAGUUGUCAUUUUCUUACACUUCUAUUGCAACAGGUCGCUAUUAAGUUGGCAUCAACCAGUGGCCAGGGAAUGGCUGUAUACGAUGUGUUUGACUUUGAUCCAUAGCUUUCAUGUAAAGCAAAUGAAGAACAUGCCAUGACACUUGAUUUUCAUGCCAUUGUUUUGAUUCUUGGAUUCUUGAUGUGAGCCUAGACCAAAUGUUCCUCCACCCUCGGUUGAAUCAUUUAUUCUUACAAAAGAAGGUAAUCAUAGAAGCUCUUUAAUAUUAAUGGAAGCUUGAUGAAAAAUUAUGUUAUGUAUUUUAAACUCUUGAAAUGUCGAUGCCAUUUUUAGGUGCUACUGAAGUUGAUAUGGCUUAACUCAAGCACCACAAAAUCAUAAUAACAUUGUCUUGCAUGGUCAAGAACUGAUGACCUUGAGGACCAACAACAUCAGUCGUGGUAAUCAUUCUAAAGUGACUGUUCAUAAGCCUAUGAUGUGGUCACCAGCCCCCAACAUUUAAUAAAACAAUGCGCUAAUGUCUAACUAGAGAUCCUCUAUGGAUGAUUGGAUGCAGCCAGGAAUACCUGAAACCGAGUUUACGGAUGUCAAUUCAGUUAAUCAUUAAUCUUUUGGUGAUUGCAUGGGCUAUUUCAUGUACACCUUUGAUGUGGCCGCUAACUGUCUUAGUUCAUUCAAAACCCAGUUCUAGGUUGAUGCGAACAAAGAAUUAUUCAAGUACUUGAGUUAUCGAGAACGGUUGAUUCGUGAACUGGUAGAUCUUAUUUUAUAGUAAGUAGUGUCCAAAACUUUCUGGGAGGUCAUGUAGUUGAUGCUUUGUCAUGUAUGUCUAAAUACAUGGCUCCUGAGUUGAGGAAUAUAUUGAUUCUUUUCUGCAGUUUCAAUAUUGUUUUUCUGCAUCACAAAAAGCUCUUUUUAUCUUAGUGGAAACUUCAUGAAAAAUACAUAGCUAGCCUGGCUCCCGGCGCAGCGGCCGGUUGGUCGUCUCUGCGUGCCCGGCUUGCUGGCCCUGCGGGCUACCCUGACCGACGCCCGCUAGCGCGGUGGAGAGGCUAGGCAUUUUUUUACCCGAGUCGGCGCAUCGGCAGUUGCAUCGAGGACCCUUCGUGUCAGUUCGUGGGGUACCCACACUACGUCGCGUGCCAUCUCCGGCAUGCUGUUUUGUGCCAUGGGCUUGGCCAGGAGGCAUCUGGUGCAGACUAGGCUGAGCAAGUAUCAGUUUUAUGGAAUUCUUUUUCCAAGGUAUGCCAAUUUUGUUUCCAUUAAGAACCAUCUGUUGCUCCUACUAUGCUUGAGACACCUUAUGAUAUUUAUGUGAGCUACUGUAGUGUCAACAUAUUUUCAAAUGACUUGCCAAUUUGAUCAGCACUUCAGACUGGGGGUGCUUUAUUGCAUUCAAAGGAUGUUUGAGGAAAAGUUAUGUCCGCAUGGAUGUAUAUAAUAGCUCUAGGCGUCAGUGGCCAAAUGCAGCAACAAAGCCAAGGUAUUUUGUUCAAUAAUUAGCACUGGUAUUUAAAAGCGGCAUAUUCGUUUCUCAUUUUUAUCCGGCCCGCAUUUGUACUCAUGGCCCGUAGACCAUGAUAUCAGUAGAUGCCCUCCAACAGCACAACUUCACUCUAAUGGUGCCAAGUCUAUUAUCUCUUUUGUCCAGGUUGUAACUGGUCCUACACAUAAAUGCUUGGAGAUAUCAGAUAUCUCAAGAUCAACCAAAAAAUAGGAACUUACUUCCCCAUAGUAAAUUAGUCGACGCCGGUGAACUGCUCACAUCUACCUGUGUUUUUCUUUCAGACUUCUUACUAAUCAGUCGGUACUAAUAUGGCACAAAUAUUUUAUAUUGGUAGGCUGCUUCUAUUUUACUGCAUGGCAUAUUCGAAAACAGUUAAAUAAGUGAUUUAAGAUUCAGUAUGUGUUCUUCUCUUCAGUUAGUUCUGAAAGAAGGGACAGAUAGAUGAUUUUUCUUCAGGUUAUGCAUUUUUUUUUACUUGCUAAAUAGUUCCUGAAUAACAGGAACCAUCCUCAGUUCAAACAUGAAUACAAAAAUAAGCUAUUUACCUAAUUUUUAUGCCACCCCAUUGCUCGCUACAGGUACUACCAUACCAUUUUUUUCUUUCAAUCCGCAGCCAUAUAUUUCAGAUCCGUUCAUUUAGUUUAGAAAAUAUAAUGUAGUAAGGGAUUUAGAAUAUUGAGCACGUAGUACCAAGUUGCGAAUAUAAAUUGAUGGAUGGCAUUGAUCCUUGGUUGGAUGAGAUGACUGAGGGCCUGCAUGUAGCUUUGAGAAUGGACGCUCAGGUGUGUUAUUGCUCACAAGCGAGAAGUUAACAAGUAGGAAUAGCUAAAUCACUAUAACAUUUGUGUUUUAGACUUCUACGUAUGACCUACCGUUUGGAAGAUUUUACGUUGAUAGUUAAAUUGUAUUGUCUUCAUCACUACUUAAAUCAUACAUGGUAAAAAAUAAUCUCGAAUUGCCUCUCUUGUGUCUCUUUUCAGUCAGAUUUUAUUUGUACAGGAUCUACUUAUGAUUCUUUCGCUCUAUUAAUGGCCAUGAUAUGAAUGUGUUCUUUGUAACUACCUCGGACCAGAAGCACAACUCACCUAGCUAAAUAUGCAUGCAGUAUCAAACAGAGCUAGUACACUCUUCUCCAACUUCUAAUCCGGCGCGGCGUGCCGCCGCGCCAUCAUUUGCUAGUAUGAUCAAGAAGAGUGAAAAGUCUAAGCUUGGGGAUGCCCCCGUGGUUCAUCCCUGCAUAUUUCAAGAAGACUCAAGCAUCUAAGCUUGGGGAUGCCCAAGGCAUCCCCUUCUUCAUCGACAACAUUAUCAGGUUCCUCUAGUGAAACUAUAUUUUUAUUCCGUCACAUCUUAUGUGCUUUACUUGGAGCGUUUGUAUGUUCUUGUUUUUGUUUUGUUUAAAUAAAAUUGGAUCCUAGCAUUCAUUGUGUGGGAGAGAGAUACGCUCCGCUGUUGCAUAUGAACAAAUAUGUUCUUAGCUUUAUUCUUAAUGUUCAUGGCGAAGGUUGAAACUGCUUCGUUAAUUAUUAUAUGGUUGGAAACAGAAAAUGCUACAUGUGGUAAUUGGUAUAAUAUCUUGAAUAAUGUGAUACUUGGCAAUUUUUGUGCUCAUAUAGAUCAUGUUUAAGCUCUUUCAUCAUAUACUUUGCACCUAUUAGUGAAGAAAUACAUACAGCUUGCUGAAAUUUGGUUUGCAUGAUUGGUCUCUCUAGAGUCUAGAUAUUUUCUGGUAAGGGUUUGAGCAACAAGGAGGACGGUGUAGAGUUUUAUAAUGCUUGCAAUAUGUUCUUAUGUGAGUUUUGCUUUACCAGUUCAUACUUGUGUUUGCUUCAAAUAACCUUGCUAGCCUAAGCCUUGUAUUGAGAGGGAUUACUUCUCAUGCAUCCAAAAUCCUUGAGCCAAAAACUAUGCCAUUUGUGUCCACCAUACCUACCUAUUAUGUGGUAUUUCUCUGCCAUUCCAAAGUAAAUUGCUUGAGUGCUACCUUUAAAAUUCUAUUCCUUGUCUUUGCAAUAUAUAGCUCAUGGGAAAAAUAGCUUAAAAACUAUUGUGGUAUUGAAUAUGUACUUAUGUAUCUUAUUUCUUUUUAAGUUGCUUGUUGAGCGAUAACCAUGUUCCUGGGGAUGCCAUCAACUACCUCUGUUGAAUAUAAUGUGAGUUGCUAUGCAUGUUUGUCUUGUCUGAAGUAAGGGUGAUUUAUCAUGAGUUGAAUGGUUUGAGUAUGCAUAUUGUUAGAGAAGAACAUUGGGCCGCUAACUAAAGCCAUGAAACAUGGUGGAAGUUUCAGUUUUGGACAACAAUCCUCAAUCUCUUAUGAGAAUAUUAUUUGUUGUUGAAUGCUUAUGCAUUAAAGAGGAGUCCAUUAUCCGUUGUCUAUGUUGUCCCGGUAUGGAUGUCUAAGUUGAGAAUAAUCAAAAGCGAGAAAUCCAAUGCGAGCUUUCUCCUUAGACCUUUGUACAAGCGGCAUAGAGGUACCCCUUUGUGAUACUUGGUUAAAACAUAUGUUAUGCAAUGAUAAUCCAUGUAAAUCCAAGCUAAUUAGGACAAGGUGCGGGCACUAUUGGUAAUCUAUUCAUGAGGCUUGCAACUUAUAGGAUAUCUUAUACAUAACACAUAUGCUUUAUUACUACCGUUGACAAAAUUGUUUCUCGUUUUCAAAAUAAAAGCUCUAGCACAAAUAUAGCAAUCCAUGCUUCCCUAUUCGAAGGGCCAUUCUUCUACUUUUAUGUUGAGUCAGUUUACCUACUUCCUUCCAUCUUAGAAGCAAACACUUGUGUCAACUGUGCAUUGAUUCUUACAUGCUUGCUUAUUGUACUCAUUAUUCUACUUUGUGUUGACAAUUAUCCAUGAGAUAUGUAUGUUGAAAGUUGAAAGCAACUGCUGAAACUUAAAUCUUCCUUUGUGUUGCUUCAAUGCCUUUACCUUGAAUCUAUUGCUUUAUGAGUUAACUCUUAUGCAAGACUUAUUGAUGCUUGUCUUGAAAUUACUAUUCAUGAAAAGUCUUUGCUAUAUGAUUCAGUUGUUUAAUCAUUGUCUUUACCAUUGCUUUGAAUCACUUCAUUCAUCUCAUAUGCUUUACAAUAGUAUGAUCAAGAUUAUGUUGGUAGCAUGUCACUUCAGAAAUUAUCUUUGUUAUCGUUUACCUACUCGAGGACGAGUAGGAACUAAGCUUGGGGAUGCUGAUACGUCUCCAACGUAUCUAUAAUUUCUGAUGUUCCAUGCUUGUUUUAUGACAAUACCUACAUGUUUUGUUCACACUUUAUAUCGUUUUGAUGCAUUUUCCGGAACUAACCUAUUAACAAGAUGCCGAAGUGCCAGUUCCUGUUUUCUGCUGUUUUUGGUUUCAGAAAUCCUAGUAAGGAAAUAUUCUCGGAAUUGGACGAAAUCAACGCCCAGAACCUUAUUUUUCCCGGAAGGUUCCAGAGCACCGAAAAGAUUACGAAGUGGGGCCACGAGGCGGUGACACAAUAUGGCGGCGCGGCCUAGGGGGGGCGCUCCCCUACUGUGAGGGGCCCCAGACCCCUUCCGACUCCGUUUCUCCGCCUAUUUAAGCCGUCCUGACCUAAAAACUUCGGGGGAAUAAGCCACGGUACAAGAAACCUUCCAGAGCCGCCGCCAUCGCGAAGCCAAGAUCUGGGGGACAGGAGUCUCUGUUCCGGCACACCGCCGGGACAGGGAAGUGCCCCCGGAAGGCAUCUCCAUCGACAUCACCGCCAUCUUCAUCACCGCUGCUGUCUCCCAUGAGGAGGGAGUAGUUCUCCAUCGAGGCUAAGGGUCAGCACUGGUAGCUAUGUGGUUAAUCUCUCUCCCAUGUACUUCAAUACAAUGAUCUCAUGAGCUGCCUUACAUGAUUGAGAUUCAUAUGAGCUUUGUAUCACUAUUAAUCUAUGUGCUACUCUAGUGAUGUUAUUAAAGUACUCUAUUCCUCCUCCAUGAUGUAAUGGUGACAGUGUGUGCAUCAUGUAGUACUUGGCGUAGUUUAUGAUUGUAAUCUCUUGUAGAUUAUGAAGUUAACUAUUACUAUGAUGUUAUUGAUGUGAUCUAUUGCUCCUUUCAUAGUAUGAUGGUGACAGUGUGCAUGCUA
Lolium perenne is the source of this 7055-nucleotide long non-coding RNA. RefSeq lists it as uncharacterized. The record is from RefSeq and is a predicted model, not a curated record. NCBI's taxonomy places the organism in Eukaryota, Viridiplantae, Streptophyta, Magnoliopsida, Poales, Poaceae.